This 1170-nucleotide long non-coding RNA is filed under the name Parus major (Great Tit). RNAcentral's name for it is "lncRNA (ENSPMJG00000015857.1)". The record is from RNAcentral. Lineage: Eukaryota; Metazoa; Chordata; Aves; Passeriformes; Paridae.
CUUUUAGUGUCAGUUUGUAAUUGCUGAUUCUAUUAUGCCUUUUGGGGUUGAUAAAGGAACUGUCAUUAGAAUUUUCCUCUUGUAUGCAGUUACAGACCAUUCAUCUUGUCCAGGUGGGGUUAAAGAAUGGAUUUUCAGGAUCAUUCUUAGACUUCUUUUCUGAAUAAUUUCCAGGUCUUCAUCUCUUUUUUCACUUUCCUCUUCCAGGAGCAGACCUAUAAUUGAAGCUGUUCGUAGCUGGCUAACAGACCUGCAGAGGUACAACUGUGAAGGUUUUGGCUGGGGUGGAGCUGAUUUUCCUCAGAGUAGCCCCGGGGAGUUAGCAAGCGGCUUAGCGGGAGCUGCCAGCUGGGGAUAAACCACAGCACUGCUGCACUUGCUCCACAGGUUCUGCAAGGGGUGACUGGCAUGUGUAUUCACUGGCAAGAAUAAACAGUGUUGCCAGGCCAUUUGCAUGGCCCACAGAACCUCCACGCUGAAAUAUGAUAAACAAGGAAGGGUGAGAGCUUGCUACUCAAAACAUACCCUUAUUUCUCUCGGGCAAUGCCAUGCCAACCUUGCUACGCUGCUCAGUGAGAAAUAUCUGUCAAGACCAAGCUGAAUUUCCUUGGCUUCUGGGGUUCUCCAACUAAGUGCUUUGAGAGGCGGCGUUGGCAGUGGAUCUUCAUCCUUCAGACAGAUCCAGAGGAGAAUUCAUUGCUGGGUCGUUAACUGACGAUUAAAGAAUGAAAGUGGUAACUUGACAACACUUCCAAGUGGCUGGAAAUGCAUGUUUACCUAAUGGAAAUCGUUAUCAGGACUCCCUUCUCAGAUAAGAUCUGGGCAUUACUGUGAAGAGGCAGGAAGGUUUAUCUCUGACCAUGGGAAGCUGACAGCUCUCAUGCUGCGUAUUUUAACAGUUGCCUGUCAGCACCAACCUCUGCCAUUUGAUUGUCACUUCAAUGAGUAAGAUCUGUCAAACUGAACACAAAGAACAAUGUUUCUUAUGGUGGAAACAUUUAGAGUUUAUUUCUCUUUUAUUGUAUUGUAUUAGUUUGCAUCAUUCAGACUGAUUACUUACAUGAAAGGAUGAUACAGGUAUGAAAUACGGGAUUAUUCCAGCUAGAUCAAUUACAAGUAAAGCAGGAUGGAAUUAUUUUUCAGCAUGAGGCAAUUUCAGCCAUUUAAAGA